CAAUAGCGUAUAUUAAAGUUGUUGCGGUUAAAAAGCUCGUAGUUGGAUUUCUGCCGAGGACGACCGGUCCGCCCACUGGGUGAGUAUCUGGGACGACCUGGGCAUCCUUCCAGAGAAUGUGUCUGCUCUUGACUGAGUUGGUGACAGUAUCUGGAACUUUUACUUUGAGGAAUUAGAGUGUUUCAAGCAGGCAUACGCCUUGAAUACAUUAGCAUGGAAUAAUAAGAUAGGACCUCGGUUCUAUUUUGUUGGUUUCUAGAGCUGAGGUAAUGAUUAAUAGGGAUAGUUUGGGGGCAUCCAUAUUUAACUGUCAGAGGUGAAAUUCUUGGAUUUGUUAAAGAUGAACUACUGCGAAAGCAUUUUGCCAAGGAUGUUUUCAUUGAUCAAGAACGAAAGUUAGGGGAUCGAAGAUGAUUAGAUACCAU
RNAcentral lists this ribosomal RNA (425 nucleotides) under uncultured eukaryote. RNAcentral describes it as "SSU rRNA". It matches the Rfam family "Eukaryotic small subunit ribosomal RNA", at positions 592 to 1018 of the family's 1831-position model. The record is from RNAcentral.